RNA transcript from Solanum tuberosum (potato), 2811 nucleotides. It is a transcript of the gene named microtubule-associated protein 70-1-like, with no coding region annotated. NCBI's taxonomy places the organism in Eukaryota, Viridiplantae, Streptophyta, Magnoliopsida, Solanales, Solanaceae. The transcript is spliced from 11 exons. The record is from RefSeq and is a predicted model, not a curated record.
GUCCCCACAUUUAAUCAUCUUCUUCUGCCUCAUAUAGAUAUAAACAAAGUUGUACGUAUACACACGCAUUCUGUACUCCAGAAUUUUGGGGUUUUGGAAUUUUCUGUAGUGAAACAGAUCUCUCUCUCUCUCUCUACCUGUAGUAGUAUUCCAUUUUUUCUGUCUAUUUGAAUAUGGGAAAUAACGGGGAUGCUCCGGUGGAGCCGAUGAAGCUGACUUCAUUCAGGAGCCGGAGGAAAGCACCAGCCAUUUCCGGUGAACCUGAUGACUUUAUCAACCUCUUGCAUGGCUCUGAUCCCAUCCGAAUUGAGCUCACUCGUCUUGAGAAUCAACUCCGAGAUAAAGAUAGAGAACUGGGGGAGGCAUAUGGAGAAAUCAAAUCUUUGAAGUACUCUGAACGCGUUAAAGAAAAGGCAGUUGAGGAGCUAAAUGAUGAGCUAAAGAAAGUAGAUGAAAAGCUGAAAAAAACAGAAGCUCUUCUUGAAAACAAGAAUCUUGAGAUUAAGAAAAUAAAUGAUGAGAAAAAGUCAGUGCUGGCUGCACAAUUUGCUGCUGAAGCUACUCUUCGGAGAGUUCAUGCUGCACAGAAAGAUGAUGAGAUGCCGCCCAUUGAGGCAAUCAUCACACCCCUCGAAGCAGAGUUAAAACUUUCCAGAUUAGAGAUGGCAAAGUUGCAGGAUGACAAUAAAGCACUAGACAGACUUACAAAAUCUAAAGAAGCCGCUCUACUGGAGGCAGAACGAACUGUUCAAAUGGCAUUGGCAAAGGCUGCUUUGGUUGAUGACCUGCAAAAUAAAAAUCAAGAUCUAAUGAAACAGAUAGAAAUAUGCCAGGAAGAAAACAAAAUAUUGGACAAAAUGCAUAGACUGAAGGUUGCAGAGGUUGAGAAACUAACACAAACUGUAUGGGAGCUUGAGGAAGCUGUAUUGGCUGGUGGAGCUGCAGCAAAUGCUGUACGAGAAUACCAGAGAAAAGUGCAAGAACUGAAUGAGGAGAAAAGAAUCCUAGAUCGUGAGCUAGCCCGUGCAAAGAUUUCUGCAAACAGAGUAGCUGUUGUUGUUGCCAAUGACUGGAAAGAUGCCACUGACAAAGUAAUGCCUGUAAAACAAUGGCUUGAAGAAAGAAAAUAUUACCAGGGAGAAAUGCAACAGCUUAAAGAUAAACUGGCAAUUGCAGAGCGUGCUGCAAAAGCAGAAGCACAGUUAAAGGAAAAGUAUCAAUUACGAUUUAAAGUUUUGGAAGAAAGGUUUAAGGUGCCUUCAAAUGUUACAUCUCGCACUGCAGCUGAAGGAAGAAGCAUAAGCAAUGUGCGCUCAAGGCGUAUGUCCCUUGGAGGAGUUGAAAACUUGUCUAGACCCUCCAAUGGUUCUUUAUUACGAAAAACAAGUUUUCAAUCUGGAUCAUCCCAGUCAAAUGAUGCUAGCUCAUUGUUAAAAAAAGCAAAGAACUUAUCGGGCGCAUUUGAUGGCGGCAGCAGAUCAGAGGGUAAGGAGAAGCCAGUCCAGCUUACGGAUCAGAAAGAUAAUGGACAUAGUGGUACUAGCAGAGAGUCCCAUAGCAAUGGAAUAGUAACUGCACAUGAGAAUGCAGAUUUGAAUGCUGCUGAGAAAAUGAAGUUGGAAAAUAAAGAUUAUGUUUCUGGAGCAGUGUACGAUAUGCUUCAAAAAGAGGUUAUAGUUCUACGCAAAGCUUGCAAUGAGAAAGAUCAUAGCCUGAAGGACAAAGAUGAUGCCAUUGAGAUGUUGGCAAAGAAGGUUGAAACGUUAAACAAGGCAAUGGCAAUUGAGGCCAAAAGAAUGCGCAGGGAAGUUGCAGCAAUGGAAAAGGAGGUUGCUACAAUCCGUAAUGGCAAGGAGUAUGAUCAAAGGCUAAAGUGCAGUUACUCUGCCAAGGAAGCCAUGAAUGGUCAUACACUACCACAAAGGUGAUGCUCUCAAAACCCCCCUCCACUAAUCAAAUUGCUGAAUACAGAAUGCUCAAUAAGGACAACAUUCGCUUACAUGCGUUAAUAUAUCAGUGUGCGCAAAGGGAAGAAACGAUCGGAGCUACAAAAAAUUUACCGAACAAUGAUGAAAGCGGGCAGCAUUUCAUAUCAGAAGGAAUAUUUCUCCCCUCGAAUACUAUCACAACUCAUGUCAGUUUGUAAAGUACUAUAGUUGUUUGGGGGCAUUAGCUUAUUUUAUGUAUAUGUUUGUAACAUAUUUGUAUUAUUAUGAGUAAAAGAAGUGCAUCUGUAUGGAACUAUGGGCAAAGGCAGGGAUUAUAUUUUUAUGCAAGUGGUAAAGAAAUGUUCAUGUCAUCAAUACCGUGCAGAUAGUCCUUAUAAGGUCGAUCCUAUUUCUAUGAAUCUAUGACCUUCGUUAAUGGUAAGCCUAUGAUGAAGUCGAUGGAGGUGAAAGUGUCACACAUGAACAUCCAUAGAAAAUCUCCAAUAUGUCGUGGUUGGGAAGUUUUCAUAUGGGUGGCCGGAAAUUGAAGAAUUACAGAGACUAAUAUUUUGCAAUUUCAAACUUAUUGGGGAUUUUGUUGAUGUUGACGAAUGCAUAUUAUCUCAAGGCCAACGAGGGGCUAUCAUAGCAAAUCCAACCAUUGAUAUGUGAUUCAAAGUUCAAACUUAAUGAGGAAACAACUCAAGUUUGUGGCAUGGAUUUUGUUUUCUAGUUUACUUUGGACAUACUUAGUUGGAGAAUCAUUGUUUGCUCUAGUUUUGAUUGAUGUUUAUCUACAACCUUUGAUAGCGGAGCUAAAACAAUUAUCGUCUAAAGAUGUAGUGACAUAUGAUAUAUCAACUAAGCAAAAUUUUAUUUUGCA